GCAUCACUUGCCAUCAGGGAAAUACAAAUCAAAACCACAAUGAGAUCCCACCUCACACCAGUGAGAAUGGGGAAAAUUAACAAGGCAGGAAACCACAAAUGUUGCAGAGGAUGUGGAUAAAGGGGAUUAAACAUUUAAUAAGUAGCUCAUGUGGAAUUGAACUUAGGUCUAAUUGACGUAAAUAAGUUAUCCCCCAGUACUUUGCCAAAAUAUAACAACAAAGAAAGGAACAAUAAAAUGAAUAAAGGAUGCACUGAUUUUCUUUAUUUGAGUGAAAACUAGAAAUUACUUGUGUCUUUAAGAGGAUAAUAUGCCCAAUUAACCUUUCCAAAUAUUUAAAUGGACUGUAGUGAACAGUUGCUUGUCAAGGAAUAAUAAGCCCUUCACAAAUCCAGAAUUUUCUAUCAGCUGCUGAAUAAAAUUAUCAAUUGGUCACUGUGUAAGUUGUUAAAUGUUUGUUUACUUGAAUCUAUUUCCUGUCUGAAUUAUUGCCAUGAGUCGGCAUUCUGUCAUUUGCCCAAAUUAUUUCAGUAGAAGAUCUUUGACAUUUUCCUUCCUAUGCCAACAGUGUGCAUAAAAUCUGUGAAAUUAUGAGUGGUGUCUCUGAAUGCUUAGAAAACUGAUUUGUGUGGCUAAUUUAGCCACAUGAAGAAAGGACGAGGAAGUCUGUGCUUUAUGAUUUUAUACAUACCAUUACCCUGCUGCACCUUGGUAUGGCCAAAAAACAUCCCUCCUGUCUUGCCAUCCAAGUAUGAGCAUACCUGGCUGAGGAAAAGAAGACAGUUCAAACCCUAAGCCAGCAUGAUGGUGGCCCUGGCUACAUAUCCUUGGUCCCUCUCAAUACUCCAGUGGUCCAUUUCCAAUAGCCACACGGAGAAGGAGAAUGUAUUCAGCCAUUGUCAGAAACAUCUAUUCAUCUGAAAACCCAUGGAAAUGAGCUCUCCACUAACACUGCCUGAGCCACAGCAUCGGCUGCCUCACUUCUGUCCUCAUCAAAGUUUGAUCCAGGGUAAAUGCAAUGUUUUCGUCACUGGCUCCUAUGUUCAAAUUUAUGUGUCCAUUUUCUCUCUAUAUACCAUCUCACAUGAAACUGUGCUAAGA
This is a long non-coding RNA of Canis lupus familiaris (dog), 1101 nucleotides long. RefSeq lists it as uncharacterized. The transcript is spliced from 3 exons. The record is from RefSeq and is a predicted model, not a curated record. NCBI's taxonomy places the organism in Eukaryota, Metazoa, Chordata, Mammalia, Carnivora, Canidae.